This 253-nucleotide ribosomal RNA is filed under the name uncultured bacterium. RNAcentral's name for it is "partial 16S ribosomal RNA". It matches the Rfam family "Bacterial small subunit ribosomal RNA", at positions 524 to 776 of the family's 1533-position model. The record is from RNAcentral.
UACAGAGGUCUCGAGCGUUGUUCGGAUUCAUUGGGCGUAAAGGGCGCGUAGGCGGCGGGGUAAGUCUGGUGUGAAAUCUCGGAGCUCAACUCCGAAAUUGCACUGGAUACUGCUCUGCUAGAGGGCUGGAGAGGAGAUCGGAAUUCACGGUGUAGCAGUGAAAUGCGUAGAUAUCGUGAGGAAGACCAGUGGCGAAGGCGGAUCUCUGGACAGAUCCUGACGCUGAGGCGCGAAGGCUAGGGGAGCAAACGGG